RNAcentral lists this ribosomal RNA (253 nucleotides) under uncultured bacterium. RNAcentral describes it as "partial 16S ribosomal RNA". It matches the Rfam family "Bacterial small subunit ribosomal RNA", at positions 524 to 776 of the family's 1533-position model. The record is from RNAcentral.
UACGAAGGGGGCUAGCGUUGUUCGGAAUCACUGGGCGUAAAGCGCACGUAGGCGGUUCUUUAAGUCAGGGGUGAAAUCCCGAGGCUCAACCUCGGAACUGCCUUUGAUACUGGGGAUCUCGAGUCCGGGAGAGGUGAGUGGAACUGCGAGUGUAGAGGUGAAAUUCGUAGAUAUUCGCAAGAACACCAGUGGCGAAGGCGGCUCACUGGCCCGGAACUGACGCUGAGGUGCGAAAGCGUGGGGAGCAGACAGG